Coregonus clupeaformis (lake whitefish) is the source of this 1262-nucleotide long non-coding RNA. RefSeq lists it as uncharacterized. The transcript has 4 exons. Lineage: Eukaryota; Metazoa; Chordata; Actinopteri; Salmoniformes; Salmonidae. The record is from RefSeq and is a predicted model, not a curated record.
UAUGACGUACCUUGUGUUGGGUGGAGAAAAUAAAACCCUUAUUACGUAUUCCUGUCUUCAAAUCAUUAAUCAACAUGACAAAGUCUGCCCCCCCACACACACACUUAAUUUAGGUUAGUGUGUAGUCAAGGCUUUGUCAUUAUUGUGCUUAUCUUUCAGAUCUGCCAACCAGGCUCGGUGGGUGACAGGUAACCGUGUUUCCACCAAGCUGUUCCAGGCCUGGAGUGGCACGCUGGCUCUUCCAGAGGCUUGUAGACCUGAAGCAGUGAUGUGGUCCAGAUCUGACACCCCUAUUAGCUCAACCACAGCCCUCACAGCUGCAUUCGUCUGCCCCUGCUACACUGGCCGCGACAGGUGAUACAGAUCUGUCACCCCCAGCAGUUCAGCUGCAGUCACAGCAGUCCUCUGCUGUGGUAUUUAAUUUUAGGCUGCACAAGUUCCUACUACACUGGCCGUGAAGGGAGACACUUUUGAGGAUUCCCAGAUGGAUACAGAUCUGCCAUGCACUCCACCACUGCCUGACAGCCUCACCCAGAAGUGCAUACAAUGGGCCUAUCAAGACUGACACUGAAAAAUAAAACACAACAUGCACACACUCUCUCUCUGUCACACACACAAACACACACAUUAUCCCCAAUGCAAAUAAGUUGUAAUUACUUUUUAAUUGUAUAUUUGCUCCAUUCCCUGGCUAUCCAUCCACAUUGCUCAAGUCAAAGUUUGUUCUCCACAAUGAAUGUAGGUAGCGAUUAUAAUUCAGGGUGAGUCAUCAGGCAACCAAGGCCAAGGAAUGGAGAGAGAUGACCUGGAGGGAGUUCCAGACCUCAGCUUUUAUAAAGCAGAAAAGCAGAGAUGGGUGACUAACAACAAAAUAAAACCCACACUCUCUCCCACACACACAUUAGUAUGUAAAUAUGUCAAUAUAUUUUAAUUACUUGUUUAUUUUAUAUCUAUGCUCCAUUUUAUUUAGGAUUGGAGAUAUUUAGGCCUACAGAUGGUGUUAUCCAUUUCCCACAACAGACAUGUGCAGUUGUGCUUACUCACAGUUGGUGGAGAGGGCAUGGUUAGGAGAGAUGGUGGCUGACAAGGUAAAAUAAAAUACAACAUGCACACACUCUCUCUCUCUCGCUCUCCCACACACGCACACAAUAGUCUGUGUGCUUUUGUCUGAGUUACAAAACAUGACUCUCUCACACACACACCCACAUUAGACCCAAUGUAAAUAAAUUGUAAUGACUUUUUUAUUGAUGUAUGCUCCAUUUUAU